UGACCAUGAGUUUAACGGCCGCGGUACUUUGACCGUGCGAAGGUAGCGCAAUCACUUGUCUUUUAAAUGGAGACCUGUAUGAAUGGCAUGACGAGGGCUUAACUGUCUCCUUUUUCCAGUCAAUGAAAUUGAUCUUCCCGUGCAGAAGCGGGAAUAACACCAUAAGACGAGAAGACCCUGUGGAGCUUUAGACACCAAGACAGACCAUGUUAAACACCCCCUCCUAAGGGAUUAAACUCAUUGGAUUCCUGCUCUAAUGUCUUUGGUUGGGGCGACCUCGGAGAAACAAAAAACCUCCAUGUGGAAUAGGAGUACUACACUCCCAAAACCAAGAGCCACAGCUCAAAUUAACAGAACUUCUGACCAAUCUUUUUUAAACAGAUCCGGCCACCCACGCCGAUCAACGGACCGAGUUACCCCAGGGAUAACAGCGCAAUCCUCUUUUAGAGCUCAUAUCGACAAGAGGGUUUACGACCUCGAU
This 481-nucleotide ribosomal RNA is filed under the name Dascyllus albisella (Hawaiian threespot damsel). Its description in RNAcentral is "partial 16S ribosomal RNA". It matches the Rfam family "Bacterial large subunit ribosomal RNA", at positions 1913 to 2530 of the family's 2925-position model. Lineage: Eukaryota; Metazoa; Chordata; Actinopteri; Pomacentridae. The record is from RNAcentral.